Molecule: ribosomal RNA, 457 nt
Filed under: uncultured delta proteobacterium
Lineage: Bacteria; Deltaproteobacteria
Description: bacterial SSU rRNA
Rfam family: Bacterial small subunit ribosomal RNA
Source: RNAcentral
AACCGGCGCACGGGUGAGUAAACACGUAGGUAACGUACCCCUUGGGUCUGGGAUAACCAGUCGAAAGACUGGCUAAUACCGGAUAUGACUACGGGCAGCUCCGGUUGCUGUAGUGAAAGAUGGCCUCUGUUUACAAGCUAUUACCCUUGGAUCGGCCUGCGCACCAUUAGCUAGUUGGUGAGGUAAUGGCUCACCAAGGCUGAGAUGGUUAGCUGGUCUGAGAGGAUGGCCAGCCACACUGGGACUGAGACACGGCCCAGACUCCUACGGGAGGCAGCAGUGGGGAAUAUUGCGCAAUGGGCGAAAGCCUGACGCAGCGACGCCGCGUGGGUGAUGAAGGCCUUCGGGUCGUAAAGCCCUGUCGGGAGGGAAGAAACAUCUCGGGCCUAAUAUGCCCGAGAAUUGACGGUACCUCCUAAGGAAGCACCGGCUAACUCCGUGCCAGCAGCCGCGGUAA